AUUGAACGCUGGCGGCAGGCCUAACACAUGCAAGUCGAACGGUAACAGGAAACAGCUUGCUGUUUCGCUGACGAGUGGCGGACGGGUGAGUAAUGUCUGGGAAACUGCCUGAUGGAGGGGGAUAACUACUGGAAACGUUAGCUAAUACCGCAUAACGUCGCAAGACCAAAGAGGGGGACCCUCGGGCCUCUUGCCAUCGGAUGUGCCCAGAUGGGAUUAGCUUGUUGGUGGGGUAACGGCUCACCAAGGCGACGAUCCCUAGCUGGUCUGAGAGGAUGACCAGCCACACUGGAACUGAGACACGGUCCAGACUCCUACGGGAGGCAGCAGUGGGGAAUAUUGCACAAUGGGCGCAAGCCUGAUGCAGCCAUGCCGCGUGUAUGAAGAAGGCCUUCGGGUUGUAAAGUACUUUCAGCGGGGAGGAAGGGAGUAAAGUUAAUACCUUUGCUCAUUGACGUUACCCGCAGAAGAAGCACCGGCUAACUCCGUG
This 490-nucleotide ribosomal RNA is filed under the name uncultured bacterium. Its description in RNAcentral is "partial 16S ribosomal RNA". It matches the Rfam family "Bacterial small subunit ribosomal RNA", at positions 30 to 507 of the family's 1533-position model. The record is from RNAcentral.